CUCAUCUGACUGUCGGAAUUAUCAUUCAUAAUAUGUUGUUUUAGUUGUGUCUUUCUGAUGAUGGUCAGGUUGGCCGAGCCAUACUCGGGUCCGAUCACUCGUUUGUUAGAUACACUAAAUUCUGGUAUGUUAAUGGUUGGACCUAACCAGAACCUUCAGUUCAGGUGCCACAUAUCUGCUGAAGAGGUGUCUGAGGUAAAAUUAAAUACUAAAAAUUAUUUGAUGAAAUAAUUGGUUAAGAACCUACUUG
RNAcentral lists this long non-coding RNA (250 nucleotides) under Elaeis guineensis (African oil palm). RNAcentral describes it as "long non-coding RNA (EGUI_LNC077019)". The record is from RNAcentral. Lineage: Eukaryota; Viridiplantae; Streptophyta; Magnoliopsida; Arecales; Arecaceae.